Molecule: non-coding RNA, 617 nt
Organism: Heterocephalus glaber (naked mole-rat)
Lineage: Eukaryota; Metazoa; Chordata; Mammalia; Rodentia; Bathyergidae
Source: RefSeq, a predicted model, not a curated record
GCGCGCUCGGGGGAGGGGCGAGCGCAGGCCCCGCCCCUGCCCUGCCCUCCGCGAAGGUUCCGGGAUCGAUCAAAGCCGGUCCUCCUCUAGGGUUUCGCCCGCGGGCGGCCCGGCGCUUCUCGCGCUUCAAAGGCGGCGCCGAGAUCCCAGCGCCCCCGACUUCGCUCCUCUCAGACCGACAGAAACGCAGCAUCCGAGCUUUGUUUUAUGAAAGCUGUUGUAUAGCCAAGAGAUUUUUCAAAGGAAACUAAGGCACAGAAAAGGUAAAUGACCUUGGCCAAAGCCCUAUCCGGUGGUAAGUCAAGUGGAGUGUGGAUGAGAAUGCAGUUUGAUGGGACUCCUCUCCGAUACUCUGAUUCCCCAAGGCCUUCCUGCCUUUGGUGAAAGGGAGUCUGCAAUUACUGCUAUAAUUUGCCUGUCCAUCUGCUUACAGGGGGGGAAAAUAACAUUGCUUUAAUGUUUUGUCUUUUUGGUUCCUUUGCAUUCUCCUAUUUCAUUUCACUGCUUAUUGCUUCUUGACAUCUUAUCUCCUGCCCAGUCUCUGGAAAAAAUGACUUUGUUUUAAUCAAUGAAUAACUAGCCGGAAAUAUUCCAUAUUACCAUCACUCGUCACUGGA